AAGCGUAUACGGCCAGACUUGGUCGCGGAGGUUCAGCUCGUCUUCUGGCGGGUGUACUCCUUCGCGGACAGGCCAGCAUCGGUUUGGGCGGUCGGACAAAGGCGGUGGGAAUGUAGCUCCCCUCGGGGAGUGUUAUAGCCCGGCGUGUCAUGCGGCCAGCCCGGACCGAGGUUCGCGUUCGCUCGGAUGCUGGCGUAAUGGCCUUAUACGG
This 211-nucleotide ribosomal RNA is filed under the name Venturiales sp. RNAcentral's name for it is "partial large subunit ribosomal RNA". The record is from RNAcentral. Lineage: Eukaryota; Fungi; Ascomycota; Dothideomycetes; Venturiales.